This 667-nucleotide ribosomal RNA is filed under the name uncultured fungus. RNAcentral's name for it is "eukaryotic LSU rRNA". It matches the Rfam family "Eukaryotic large subunit ribosomal RNA", at positions 24 to 664 of the family's 3401-position model. Lineage: Eukaryota; Fungi. The record is from RNAcentral.
CCCGCUGAACUUAAGCAUAUCAAUAAGCGGAGGAAAAGAAACUAACAAGGAUUCCCCUAGUAACUGCGAGUGAAGCGGGAAAAGCUCAAAUUUAAAAUCUGGUGGUGUUUGGCCAUCCGAGUUGUAAUUUAGAGAAGCGUCUUCCGCGCUGGACCGUGCACAAGUCUCCUGGAACGGAGCGUCGUAGAGGGUGAGAAUCCCGUCUUUGGCACGGACACACCAGGGCUUUUGCGAUGCGCUCUCGAAGAGUCAAGUUGUUUGGGAAUGCAGCUCAAAAUGGGUGGUGAACUCCAUCUAAAGCUAAAUAUUGGCGAGAGACCGAUAGCGAACAAGUACCGUGAGGAAAAGAUGAAAAGCACUUUGGAAAGAGAGUGAAACAGUACGUGAAAUUGUUGAAAGGGAAACGCUUGAAGUCAGUCGCGUCGUCCGAGACUCAGCCUCUCCUCGGCUUGGCGUACUUCUCGGCCAGGCGGGUCAGCAUUGAUUUCGCCUCUCGGAUAAAGGCGAAGGAAAAGUGACCCCUUUACGGUGUGUUAUAGUCUCUCGUCGCAUGCGAGGGUCGGGAUUGAGGAACUCAGCACGCGCCCUCGGGCGUCGGGGCUUUCGCCCACGAUACGUGCUUAGGAUGUUGGCGUAAUGGCUUUAAACGACCCGUCUUGAAACACGG